RNAcentral lists this long non-coding RNA (311 nucleotides) under Mustela putorius furo (domestic ferret). Its description in RNAcentral is "lncRNA (ENSMPUG00000026010.1)". Lineage: Eukaryota; Metazoa; Chordata; Mammalia; Carnivora; Mustelidae. The record is from RNAcentral.
GCUGGCUUUCACUUCUCACCCAGAUUUACAUUGCCGAGAUGGAACACAGCGUGCCCAGAGCCCAGCCUUCUCGGUGCCCUGCCUCGUCUCUCGAAGGAGCUCCAAGAAAAUCUGAAGUGACCAAGGAAACUCAAGUGGCACACGGAAAUCUGGGAGAACACAGCUUUAUUUUCACUGGCAGUCUCAGCAGGAUCGUUUCCCAAAGGUUGAGCACCCAAAAGGGUUAAGGUCUUUUGUAGAAGCGGAUUUUGUCAUGCCUUAAAAGUUGGAUCUCCAUCAACCUACCAUCCUACAUGUAACACAAUCACAGG